Homo sapiens (human) is the source of this 1011-nucleotide long non-coding RNA. RefSeq lists it as uncharacterized. Lineage: Eukaryota; Metazoa; Chordata; Mammalia; Primates; Hominidae. The transcript is spliced from 3 exons. The record is from RefSeq and is a predicted model, not a curated record.
GUGAACGGAGCCCCCUGCCUGGAGUGUACCGGGCGCCUUAACUGUGCCCUCAUUUCAUCCUGUAAAGUCUCCACGUUCAUGAAGGAAGAAACCCAGGUGCAGAGAGGUUGAGUGAUUCCCUCUGCCCAGGGUCACCUGGCUAAUCACUUGCAGGGCUGGGAUUUGAACCCGGUCCGCUGACUCCAAAGCUGAGUCACACAGAAGGAGGUGAAUACUGUUAUUCACCUACCUUUUACAGAUGGGGAAACUGAGGUUCAGAAAGGCGAAGUGACUUGCCCGAGGUCACACAGUUAAUAAGGAGUGAAAGUGGAAGUGAGAUUCAAACCCGUGAGCAGCCUGAUUCCGGAGCACUGAUGACCCAGACGGCGCCAGUCUCCAUCACUAACAGCUGUUGACCUCACCUGUGUGCAGAGCGCCUUUGCUUCUUCUCAACCUCUUUAAGCAUCACUUAGAAAUAACCAGGUUAUUGAUCCUCACCUCAGAGGCCAUCUGGUGUCGAGGCGACAAGAAUGGAGACCAUGGAGGAGUGGAGUGGACUGGGCUGUGACCUGCCAAGGGGGGAAUGGCCACACAGGUACCCAGGAUUCACCAUCCAGUUCAGUGUAACAACAGAGCUUGCGCAGAUAACCAGGAUGCUGCAGUGGGGCUCUAGGUGGAAAAUCAAAGCUUCAAGGAGAUCAGGGACAUGUGUGUAAGAAUCUUCUCGCAAACCAGGGCAGCAGGGAGGGUCCAGUCAUGGAACCAGGUGCCACCUCACCUGGCUGAGUUCAAGAUUGGCUCUAACCCAAAUCACCUGCAAGACCUUGAGCAACAUACUUAACCCUUCUCUGCUUCAAUUUUAUUUUUGUUACAUUGAUCAAAAGUCAGAAAGGAAAGGAAGUCCUCAUUGAUACAGAGGUUAGGAAAAUUGGAAGAGAUUUUGGAGAGGGUAUCAGGUUUAUCCUACAUUCUUUAUCAGCAUGAAAAAGUCCUCCUUUGGGCUUUUUGUUUGUUUUGAUUUUUGUUUUUUGU